This 506-nucleotide ribosomal RNA is filed under the name uncultured bacterium. Its description in RNAcentral is "partial 16S ribosomal RNA". It matches the Rfam family "Bacterial small subunit ribosomal RNA", at positions 28 to 523 of the family's 1533-position model. The record is from RNAcentral.
GAUGAACGCUAGCUACAGGCUUAACACAUGCAAGUCGAGGGGUAACGAGAGGAAAGCUUGCUUUCCUUGUCGACGACCGGCGCACGGGUGAGUAACGCGUAUCCAACCUGCCCCCAACUAGGGAAUAACCUUGCGAAGGUAAGACUAAUACCCUAUAAUUUCCUCAGAUGACAUCUGACGAGGAAUAAAGAUUUAUCGGUUGUGGAUGGGGAUGCGUCUGAUUAGCUUGUUGGCGGGGUAACGGCCCACCAAGGCAACGAUCAGUAGGGGUUCUGAAAGGAAGGUCCCCCACAUUGGAACUGAGACACGGUCCAAACUCCUACGGGAGGCAGCAGUGAGGAAUAUUGGUCAAUGGGCGGAAGCCCGAACCAGCCAAGUAGCGUGCAGGAUGACGGCCCUAUGGGUUGUAAACUGCUUUUAUACAGGAAUAAAGUUAGCCACGUGUGGUUAUUUGUAGGUACUGUAUGAAUAAGGACCGGCUAAUUCCGUGCCAGCCGCCGCCGUAA